GGGGGGGGGGGGGGGGGGGGGGUUAGAGCAUUGGGCUAGUACCCAAAGGUUUCUGGUUUGUAUUUAUCCAAUGGAUUAAAGUGAGCAAAUAAGAAAUUCAUCACUUUUGUUGUGGGCUCCAACUCCUUACAGCCUCGAAUUAGUAAUUUGACGUUUUUAUUGUUUAAUGAAAUAAAACACAUGUAGGAUGAAGUAACCAGCCAGCAGGUCCCAUUUUUAGAGUCUUCGGUACAACUCGACCGGGAAUCUGACCCCCAACAUGCCAAUCUCAGGGCAGACACUGUGGAAAACCACAUCAGUCUAUCCCUAUCUAUUACCCUGUCUGUGUGUAACUCUGCGGCUGCAUUAAAUUCUCAAUCCGGGAAAGGUUCCAGUGAGUCACAGAUCAUCCCACUCUGUCUUUCAAAAACAUUACAUGUGACCUAGGUUGGUCUAGCGGUCUAAGCCCCUGCCUCCGCUGCAACAUGGGUUUGAAUCUGGUCCACUGCUAUUUCAGUACACUCUUUCCUACAUCUAUCCAAUAAACACUGAAGAUGAGGAGUGGGACUGCCUCGUCACAAAAAAUCUGUUGAAAUGUAACAUUUUAUUCAGUUGUACAAUGUUAUAAAUUAAAAGUUGUUUUCUUUUAAUGAG
Salvelinus namaycush (lake trout) is the source of this 633-nucleotide long non-coding RNA. RefSeq lists it as uncharacterized. The record is from RefSeq and is a predicted model, not a curated record. The transcript has 2 exons. NCBI's taxonomy places the organism in Eukaryota, Metazoa, Chordata, Actinopteri, Salmoniformes, Salmonidae.